CUCGGUCCGCCGAUCCGCGCGGGCCCCGGACGAGGGGUGCCGUACCCGGACAGCGACAAGACGGCCCAGA
This 70-nucleotide non-coding RNA is filed under the name Micrococcus sp. The record is from RNAcentral. RNAcentral also lists the same sequence under 1 other name. Lineage: Bacteria; Bacillati; Actinomycetota; Actinomycetes; Micrococcales; Micrococcaceae.